RNAcentral lists this ribosomal RNA (525 nucleotides) under Triticum aestivum (bread wheat). Its description in RNAcentral is "partial small subunit ribosomal RNA". Lineage: Eukaryota; Viridiplantae; Streptophyta; Magnoliopsida; Poales; Poaceae. The record is from RNAcentral.
AUGAUCAUGCGCUUGUGGGAAUUGAGAAGAAGGAUUGGUGAUUGUCUACAAGGGGAUAAGCUUCCUGCAGUGGUACAACAGGUGGUCAGCAGGAGCAGAAAUCUUACGCAUUUAUCUGUUGAAAAAUCUUCUGUGUGGGGUGCUGAAGUUAGAGAUACCAAAACUGGUAGAAGGCAUGUUGUUAACACUGAAAUGCAUGAUUGCACUUGUUUGGAGUGGCACCACACUGGGAAACCAUGUGAUCAUGCCAUACUUUUCUUGGCCUCCCGACGGAAGAUAAACAUGCACCCAUAUUUGCACGAAUAUUACUCAGUAGCAAGAUUCAAGGCUGCAUAUGCCACUCCAAUUCCAGCACUUACAGAUCAAUCUCAGUGGCCUGAAGUGGAAAUUGAAUUUUCCAUGUGUCCUCCCCUAACAAAAAGAAAGGCUGGCAGGCCUAAAGAGAGUAGAUUCAAGGCAUGGUUUGAGAAAGGUGGGAGUAGUAAAAAGGGCAAGGGAAAGAAGGAUGCAAAGCCAAAAAGGUAA